Molecule: ribosomal RNA, 363 nt
Filed under: Shigella sp. FC1967
Lineage: Bacteria; Pseudomonadati; Pseudomonadota; Gammaproteobacteria; Enterobacterales; Enterobacteriaceae
Description: bacterial LSU rRNA
Rfam family: Bacterial large subunit ribosomal RNA
Source: RNAcentral
GAAUACCGAAGAAUGUUAUCACGGGAGACACACGGCGGGUGCUAACGUCCGUCGUGAAGAGGGAAACAACCCAGACCGCCAGCUAAAGGUCCCAAAGUCAUGGUUAAGUGGGAAACGAAGUGGGAAGGCUCAGACAGCCAGGAUGUUGGCUUAGAAGCAGCCAUCAUUUAAAAGAAAGCGUAAUAGCUCACUGGUCGAGUCGGCCCGCGCGGAAGAUGUAACGGGGCUAAACCAUGCACCGAAGCUGCGGCAGCGACACUUAUGUGUUGUUGGGUAGGGGAGCGUUCUGUAAGCCUGCGAAGGUGUACUGUGAGGUAUGCUGGAGGUAUCAGAAGUGCGAAUGCUGACAUAAGUAACGAUAAU